This 372-nucleotide unclassified non-coding RNA is filed under the name uncultured Gammaproteobacteria bacterium. RNAcentral's name for it is "contains 16S-23S intergenic spacer region". Lineage: Bacteria; Pseudomonadati; Pseudomonadota; Gammaproteobacteria. The record is from RNAcentral.
UCCGGUUUGUCACCGGCAGUCUCCCUAGAGUGCCCUUGCGUAGCAACUAGGGACAAGGGUUGCGCUCGUUGCGGGACUUAACCCAACAUCUCACGGCACGAGCUGACGACAGCCAUGCAGCACCUGUCUCUCGGUUCCCGAAGGCACCCCUCUAUCUCUAAAGGGUUCCGAGGAUGUCAAGGGUAGGUAAGGUUCUUCGCGUUGCGUCGAAUUAAACCACAUGCUCCACCGCUUGUGCGGGCCCCCGUCAAUUCCUUUGAGUUUUAACCUUGCGGCCGUACUCCCCAGGCGGAAGACUUAACGCGUUAGCUUCGCUACUAUGUACCCGUAGGUACCCAACAGCCAGUCUUCAUCGUUUACAGCAUGGACUAC